Molecule: ribosomal RNA, 300 nt
Filed under: uncultured Archaeoglobus sp.
Lineage: Archaea; Methanobacteriati; Methanobacteriota; Archaeoglobi; Archaeoglobales; Archaeoglobaceae
Description: bacterial SSU rRNA
Rfam family: Bacterial small subunit ribosomal RNA
Source: RNAcentral
GCUACUGCGGUGCCAGCAGCGGGGGGAAUACAGGGGGGGCAAGCGUGGUUCGGAAUUACGGGUCGUAAAGGGAGCGUAGGCGGCCCGCUAAGUCGAACGUGAAAUCCCCGAGCGCAACGCGGGAACUGCGUCCGAUACUGGCGGGCUUGAAUCCGGGAGAGGGAUGCGGAAUUCCAGGUGUAGCGGUGAAAUGCGUAGAUAUCUGGAGGAACACCGGUGGCGAAGGCGGCAUCCUGGACCGGUAUUGACGCUGAGGCGCGAAAGCUAGGGGAGCAAACGGGAUUAGAUACCCGUGUAGUC